GCGUUGGUGGUGCAAUCGGUUAGCAUACGCUCCUAGUAGCAGUGAGAUCUUGGUUCAAAUCCCGGCUGAACGCA
Parelaphostrongylus tenuis is the source of this 74-nucleotide non-coding RNA. Lineage: Eukaryota; Metazoa; Nematoda; Chromadorea; Rhabditida; Metastrongylidae. The record is from the annotation of a GenBank genome assembly.